Molecule: ribosomal RNA, 253 nt
Filed under: uncultured bacterium
Lineage: Bacteria
Description: partial 16S ribosomal RNA
Rfam family: Bacterial small subunit ribosomal RNA
Source: RNAcentral
UACGAAGGGGGCUAGCGUUGCUCGGAAUCACUGGGCGUAAAGGGUGCGUAGGCGGGGCUUUAAGUCAGGGGUGAAAUCCUGGAGCUCAACUCCAGAACUGCCUUUGAUACUGAGGAUCUUGAGUACGGGAGAGGUGAGUGGAACUGCGAGUGUAGAGGUGAAAUUCGUAGAUAUUCGCAAGAACACCAGUGGCGAAGGCGGCUCACUGGCCCGUUACUGACGCUGAGGCACGAAAGCGUGGGGAGCAAACAGG